Molecule: long non-coding RNA, 541 nt
Organism: Passer montanus (Eurasian tree sparrow)
Lineage: Eukaryota; Metazoa; Chordata; Aves; Passeriformes; Passeridae
Exons: 2
Source: RefSeq, a predicted model, not a curated record
CUGAAACAGAAACUGACCCCUUCCAAGCUGAGACUUGAGAGAUUCACUGAAGUGGCUUCAAUGAACGCAGUCCUGCAGAGAUCCCCUCCAAGUACUGAAAGGAACAGUAAGGUCACUCUGAAGCCUUCUCCAGGCUGAACAUCUCCAGCUCUCCCAGCCUGUCUCCAGUGCAGAGGUGCACAGCCCUUGGCACAUCUUCAUGGCCACCUCUGGACUUGCUUCAGCAGCUCCACGCCCUUGUUACGCUGGGGGCCACCUGAAUGCAGCCCUGCAGGUGGAGUUUCAUGAGAGUGGAGCAGAGAGACAGGAUCCCCUUGCUUGCCCUGCUGGCCACACAUCUCCCACAGGACCAGAUUUCUACUUCUAAUACAGCCUGCUGUGUGUGGAUAAGGGGGCUGAGGCCCUGUGUCCAUACAAUGUGUGUGCACACUCUCUGCUUCACUGAGGCACUGGGCUGGGAGCUCUACACUUUAGCCCAGACACCAUGAAGGGCUUAAGCCUCACUCAAGUCAGGUGUAAUAUAAGCAAGUGCCUCAACUCA